RNAcentral lists this transfer RNA (66 nucleotides) under Coptotriche symplocosella. RNAcentral's name for it is "tRNA-Phe". RNAcentral also lists the same sequence under 1 other name. The record is from RNAcentral. Lineage: Eukaryota; Metazoa; Arthropoda; Insecta; Lepidoptera; Tischeriidae.
ACUUAAAUAACUUAUAUUAGAGUAUAAUAUUGAAGAUAUUAGAGAGGUUAUUUUUAUCUUUAAGUA